Carassius carassius (crucian carp) is the source of this 484-nucleotide long non-coding RNA. RefSeq lists it as uncharacterized. The record is from RefSeq and is a predicted model, not a curated record. Lineage: Eukaryota; Metazoa; Chordata; Actinopteri; Cypriniformes; Cyprinidae. The transcript has 2 exons.
UCAGAAGAUGAGAAGGUGAACGGGAAGCUGGACUCUUUGUUUGUUCAGGGGGCGAGCUGAUUCAGUGCAUAAUGCAAACUGCUAAAACAAGGUAGUAACUGCUUUUAUGGUUUUGGUUAGUAUUUUUUAAGUAUAAUGUUAUGAUCCUUGUUUGUUUGCAGCAUUUUGAUUCGUCAUGAGCGGGGCUGAUUACUAACGUAUUAUUGGAAUGCACAAGCUACUAAAACAAGGCGGUUGCACUCGAGGGACAGUGGGUGCACGUGUGGUGUUUACUUUUAUUGGAUGCAGUGGUUUGGUGUGAGGGUGUCACAUAUAGGUAAAUGCUGUGGUGAUGUAGUGGUUUGUUUUGAGUAUUAAGUUUUCACUCCACUUGUACCUCUGUGUACUGCCUGGGUUGAUUUAUUUUGUCUUUCUGAUUAUGUGUUUUUAUGUCUAUAAGGGACUUGUGAAAUAAAACUGCUCUGUAAAAGCGUUUAUACCUGAA